Molecule: ribosomal RNA, 372 nt
Filed under: uncultured organism
Description: partial 16S ribosomal RNA
Rfam family: Bacterial small subunit ribosomal RNA
Source: RNAcentral
GUAGGUGGCAAGCGUUGUCCGGAAUUAUUGGGCGUAAAGCGCGUGCAGGCGGUUCUUUAAGUCUGAUGUGAAAGCCCACGGCUCAACCGUGGAGGGUCAUUGGAAACUGGAGAACUUGAGUACAGAAGAGGAAAGCGGAAUUCCACGUGUAGCGGUGAAAUGCGUAGAGAUGUGGAGGAACACCCGUGGCGAAGGCGGCUUUCUGGUCUGUAACUGACGCUGAGGCGCGAAAGCGUGGGGAGCAAACAGGAUUAGAUACCCUGGUAGUCCACGCCGUAAACGAUGAGUGCUAAGUGUUAGGGGGGUUUCCGCCCCCCUUAGUGCUGCAGCUAACGCAUUAAGCACUCCGCCUGGGAUACGGCCGCAAGGCUG